This is a long non-coding RNA of Amblyraja radiata (thorny skate), 133 nucleotides long. RefSeq lists it as uncharacterized. The record is from RefSeq and is a predicted model, not a curated record. NCBI's taxonomy places the organism in Eukaryota, Metazoa, Chordata, Chondrichthyes, Rajiformes, Rajidae. The transcript has 3 exons.
AUUUUGUAUCCUGUGUAAGGGGGGAGUAUGAGUGCCAGGGCAGUUUACUGUUCUGGAUGUCAGAUGUGGGAAGUCAUGGAGUCUGAUAGCCUUCCAGACGUCCACAUCUGUGCCAGGUGUGUCGAGAUGGGGC